UGGGGGAUAUUGCACAAUGGGCGAAAGCCUGAUACAGCGACGCCGCGUGGGGGAUGAAGGCCUUCGGGUUGUAAACUUCUUUUGCUCUGAACAAGGCGCACCAUGGGGUGUGUUGAGUGUAGGGGUUGAUUAGCGCCGGCUAACUACGUGCCAGCAGCCGCGGUAAUACGUAGGGCGCGAGCGUUGUCCGGAAUUAUUGGGCGUAAAGGGCUUGUAGGUGGCUGGUUGCGUCUGUCGUGAAAGCUCAUGGCUUAACUGUGGGUUUGCGGUGGGUACGGGCUGGCUUGAGUGCAGUAGGGGAGGCUGGAAUUCCUGGUGUAGCGGUGGAAUGCGCAGAUAUCAGGAGGAAUACCGGUGGCGAAGGCGGGUCUCUGGGCUGUUACUGACACUGAGGAGCGAAAGCAUGGGGAGCGAACAGG
This 419-nucleotide ribosomal RNA is filed under the name bacterium. Its description in RNAcentral is "partial 16S ribosomal RNA". It matches the Rfam family "Bacterial small subunit ribosomal RNA", at positions 355 to 776 of the family's 1533-position model. The record is from RNAcentral.